This 33684-nucleotide long non-coding RNA is filed under the name Manihot esculenta (cassava). RNAcentral describes it as "long non-coding RNA (MESC_LNC005132)". The record is from RNAcentral. Lineage: Eukaryota; Viridiplantae; Streptophyta; Magnoliopsida; Malpighiales; Euphorbiaceae.
AUCAGGCUCUACACCUCUUUGAAUCAUUACAUUGAAUGUAUUUUGAGCCUCUGAAACCAUUCCAUCCUUACAAAGAGCAUCGAUCAAUACACUGAAGGUAUAAACAUUUGGUAAUAUGUUCUGCUCCACCAUUUCAUUCAUCAAGGCCAAAGCUUGGUUCUUUUGGCCUAAUUUGCAAACACCGUGAAGUAAACUAUUGUAAGUGAUGACAUCAGGUGAAAUGCCCUUAUUCCUCAUUUGAGAGAAGAGCUCUAAAGCCUCACCAACUAGCUCAUCCUUGCAAAGGGCGUCAAUGAUUGCACUGUAUGUGACAACAUUUGGCUCACAAUCUCCAUCAGCCAUUCCCUUUAGUAGCCCAAUAGCCACACUUGUUUUCCCAAAUUUACACAUUCCGUUUAUUAUCACACUGUAAGUACGAACAUUAGGUUGAUAACCACGUGCAACCAUAUCAUCGAAAAAUUCCACUGCUUUGUCGAUUUUACUCUCCAUACAAAGCCCAUUAAUUAAGGUAGUAAAUGUCACAGUGGUAGGCUCCAAUCCAAAUUUUAGCAUCUUACCAAAAACAGAGAAGCCAAAAUCCACAAGGUGUAAGUGGCAGAAGCAAUUAAUUAAGAUACUAAGAGAAUAAACAUCGUGUGAGAUUCCUAGCAAUUCAAUUGUUUUGGACAUGGAGUAGACAGUGUGAUAUUGUUUCAUUUUCACAAGGGCAGAUAAGAAUCUACUAAAUUGAGCCCUAGAAGGAAGAGGAUGCAUAUGAAUUACAUGAUUAAAGGAAGCAAUGGCAUCAUCAAGGCGGGUAAAAGAAGCAGAUUUGAAGUUAUUUGUCAAGAAGCGUGCAUCUUCAAGUGUGGAAGUAGAAGAAUGGCAAUAAUUGGUAAAUGAGAAUAGGAAUGGAGAUUGAAUGGUACCAAUUGCCCCUUGUAGCUGAAGAUGGAAGCUCCUGCUCUUCCUCCUCCAAGGCAUCUUCAUCAUCAUCGAUCUCUCGUCAGUUGUUUUUAGGGAUGGAUCGGAGAUUGGGAAUGAGGAAAGGAAAUAGAGAAUCGGAAAAGGAAGGCUCUCUGCCAGCUGGUAAAGUGGUAAGGAUAAAAAGGAAAUUGGGAAAGGAAAUGCAUUACUAGUUGUUUAUAUGCAGCACAUUUUGUAAUUUUUUUUUAAUUAAUUUUUCAUAUAAAAAUAUUAUUUAAUAACAAAUUAAAUUAAUUAUUUUAUAUUAUUAUAAUAUUAAAUUAUUAUAACUGUACCUUAUAACAGUGUAGAGCGGGGAUGGGUUAUGGUUUCUGGGAAGUCGAUAGAGAAGGAUGAUGGAAAAGUGGUUAAACUGCAUAAACAGUACACAGGAUAUUAAAUUAUUAUAAUAUUAAUUUUAAUUAUUAAAUAUUUUACAUUUUAAUCUCUAUAAUAUUAAAAAUUUAUUAAUUAAAGUUUCAAUUUUAUAAAAGUAUUUAUUAAUUAUUUCAUCCAUAUUGAAAAUAUUUUAAUUUUUUUAAGUAAAAUUUACUAUUUAAUUUUUAUAAUAUAAAAAACACAUUAAUUACUUCUUUUAUUUUGAAAAAUAUAUCAAAAUAUUUUUAAAAUAUUAAAAAUAUAUUAAUUAGUCCUCCCAUUAAUUUUAUUUAUUAAAUAUUUUACUAUUUAAUUUAUGUAGUAAGAGAAAAUUUAUUAGUUAAUCUCUUAAUUUUAUAAAAAUAUUUACUAAUUAAUUUUUUCAUAUUAAAACAUUUCAAAAAUCAUGAAGGGAUAUUGAAUAUAUCCUAAAUUAGUCGUUAUUUUUUAUCAUUAAAACUAUAUUUGUUAUGGUGUAAUAUUUUUUAUAAAAUAUUUUUUAUAAAACAAAAUAAAGUCUUAAUUUUUAUAUUAACUUUAAUUCAAGGAUUUGGUGUCAAACGAAUAUAUAUAUAUAUAUAUAUAUAUAUCAGUGCAAUAUUAUUUUGCCAGCAAUUCUCAUAAGAAAUAAAAAUCAAUGCAUAAAUAGAAAAAAUAAAACUAGAAAAAAAGAAGUAUAUAAAUGGGAGAUAUAAUUGGUAAAAUUACUGAGAAUUUGCCAUGAAGAGUCCAAAAAAUUACUUUAAAAUAUAAAAGAGUGAAUUAUUUUUGGUUCUUAUAUUUUAUCAAAAUUGACUAUUUAAUUUUUUAUUUCUAUGUUAUUCAAUUAAAAUAAAUUUUUAUAUUAUUUAUUUAUUUUAAUUAUACAUAUAUAAUUUAGUUGUUCUAAUCAAAUCUAAAAAUAUAUUUAUUAAUAUUUUAAUUGAUAAGAAUAUCAAAGGGUUUGACUUUAUAAAACAACCGAAAUAACUUUUUUUGCGUAACUUAACUAACAUCUCAAACAGUACAUCCAAUCACCUUGGCACAAAAUAAAGAAUCUAAAAGGGAAGAAUAUAUAUAUAUACCUUCCACAAGCAUUUCUAAAAUUCAAAUUUUCAUGUUAAAAAAUUGAUUUCAUUGGAAAAGAUUGUGAACUUCAUAUUAUUAGAUGUUAAUGCAAUGAUUUCACUGAUUUGAUUUGAAGGAAAAUAAAAGAAAUUAAGCAACUUCAUGACUAGACAAAAAAAGGUGACAAAGACCCUCUAGUGAUUCUCUUACCUUAAACUCUAGGAUGGUAUAUCAUGCAUCUUGCAUUUAUAAUGUAGUCUAAUUGUUAAAUUAAUUCUCAAUUAAAGCACAGUGAUUUAUAAUCAUUAUUUUCAUUAUUAUUAAAAAUAUAAUAAUUAAGCAAAAAAGAAUUGCUUAUACCUUUAUUGUUAGAAAGGUGAAAUUGUAAUCAUAUUCUUGCAAAGUACCUACAAGAGAAAUGAUAGCAUUUUAAAAGGUCACUGAGCACAAAAAUAAAAAUAGAUAAAAAUUCUUAAGCAUUGUAGUAUGGAACCAAUUAAUUUUAGUUCUCAACUCAUUUUUAGGACUGAGCUCUAGAGGUAAGGCUGUAGUAGCAGCAAAAAAAAAAUUAUAAAGGAGAUGGUGGGUUUAGCAGCAACUUGAUCGUUAGAAAUCCAUGACCUCCAUUCAUGAACAAUCUUAUAUCAAAGAGAUCAAGUGUAUGUCUGAAUUCAAGCGAAAGGCACACACAUAUCAUGGUUUCCACUACAGGUCAUUUGCGGUGUUAGAAAUUUUCAAUUUGUGGAAGAAAAUCACAGCUGAUUGAAAUUAAAAAUUGAUAUUUGAAGAAGUUAGUUAAAUUACAUAUCUAUUAUAUUUGAAAUAGAUAAUUACCAAGUUGCGCUCCAAGACACACUUAAUGGUCAAGAUAUAACAACUUUUGCUAAUCCCUCGUUGCUUGCUUUUGGUAAAUCUUCAUGCUUGAGAAACCCUUGAAUGAUGAUAUUAUAACAACAAUUAUUCGGUAAACAUCCUCCUAUUCCAUGUCUCUAAAAAUCUUAUAUAAAAAUCUUAUAUGCUUCGUCUAUUAAUUCUUAAAUUCCAAGCACUAUUAACAGUGUAAGUCUAUGAGUUUCUAUUUAAUAGAAUCUGCCCAUUCAUUGCUUACAUAAAAUUUUCGAACCUCUUCCCAGGCUCCUUCCAUAGUGGAAUCCAAUGGAUUAGGAAGCCUCCACAUACCAUCCCUCCAAACCUUCCUCACCUUAGCAUGUCUAUGAUGUCAGAAUAUCCCAUAUUCAACUCAGAGGCCUCUCAACAAGACUUUUCCCACCCAUGCAAGGGUCAUACCAAAAUGAAAAACCCCUCUUCCCAACUUAUAUGCAUAAUGCUUUCUAAAAUAAUCUCUAAUUUUCAUCAGAUUCUUUCAAGAUCAACUAGCAUUACAAGGUUUAGAGAUCCCCAAAAACUGAGGCUUUUCAACUUAUUCCUCACCAUGUACCCUACCAGCAUAGGAUAAUUAUUUAGCAGACCAUGAGUCAAUUCUACUAGUUAAUAUACUAAUAAGCUUCUGACAAUGCUCUUUUUUAAUACUAGUAGAUACCAGAGGUAAUCCCAAAUAGAUAACAGGAAGAAAUCCCUCCCUGAAAUUGAGGAAUUGUAGAAUUUGCUGCUUCAUCUCCUCAAGCACUCUUGCAAGAUAAACACAGCUCUUAGACUCAUUUACUUGCAAUCCUAAAACCUCCUCAACUUCAAGGCCUCUCCAAGCCCACAGACCAAAUUCCUAGCCCCAUGACAAAACAAAAACAAAUCAUCUACAAAGCAAAGUGACUCAAUGUUGCUUCUUUACACCCUUUACGAAAUUUGAACCAGAUUUUCAAUUGCAAUUUCGUUUGCAAUUUUUAUUUAACCGAUCCAAAAUAAUUACAAACAUCACAAAACCAACCUAUUAAAUGCAUAAUAUAACACAAAUCAACCACAAAUCUAAUGUAUUCAAUUAUAAUAAAAAGAAAAGUCUUUUGAACUUAAAAUUGAACACAAAUAAUCUAGUAAAACCACAAAAAAUGUAUAAUUAAAAGCAUGUUUUUGUAGUAAAUGCCAAAAUAAAUAGUACCCCAAAAUGUAUACAACAAGUAAUCAACAAAAAUCCUCGAUUUGCUCAUCUAAUCCAUCUUCAUCUCAGGCAUGCGGGAAAAGACCCGGUGGACUGGUGGAAGAGAUACUGCACCACGCUCAAUCUCUGAUGUACCUGUUGCAAAAACUCAAAUUAAUACUUAAACUCAACAAGUAGGUGUUAAAACUUGCACUCAAGGAGUAAGUAUUAACUCUAGAUCAAGUUAUAAGUAUUAACUCAAGGAGCAACAAAUAGAAAUUAUUUUGAGCAUAAACUUACUACAAGUAAUAAACUAGCAAUAAAUAGACAUCAUUUUGGAAGCAUAAACUAAUUACAAGUAAUGCAUGUAUAUGAUAAACUAGUAGGUGUUAAAUUCUAAUGGACGGAAACAGGCAUGAGUAGCUUUGGUAAAAUGAUACAGAAAGCAGGUGUUAACACCUGCUAGUUCACUGAUUUAACACCUGCAUUCUUACUAGUAAAAAUCAAAAUACAUGAUAAAAUCUCCAAGUUAUUGUCCUAAUGCAGCAUGUUUACUGAAAAAUGAUAGCAUCUUAAAAGGUCAUUGAGCACAAAAGUAAAAUAGAUAAAGAUUCUUAAGCAUUGUAGCAUGGAAUCAAUUAGUUUUAGUUCUCAACUCAUUUUUAGGAUUGAGCUCUCGAGUUAAGGCUAUAGUAGCAGCCCAAAAAAAAUUGUAAGGAAUAUGGUGGGUUUACCAGCAACUUGAUCAUUAGAAAUCCAUGACCUCCAUUCAUCAACAAUCUUAUAUCAAAGAGAUCAAGUCCAUGUCUGAAUUCAAGCGAAAGGCACACACAUAUCAUGGUUUCCACCACAGGUAAUUUGCAGUGUUAGAAAUUUUCAUUUUGUGGAAGAGAAUCACAGCAAUUUGAAAUUAAAAAUGAUAUUUGAAGAAGGUAGUUAAAUUACAUAUCUAUUAUAUUUGAAAAAGGUAAUUACCAAGUUGCGCUCCAAGACACACUUGAAUGGUCAAGAUAUAACAAAUUUAGUUUGCUGAUCCCUCAUUGCGCACCUUUAAAAGCCUCAGAAUGAGAUCAUUAUUCCGCGAUAAAUGUACUACCAAUUCUGUGGUAGCAUCAUCAGCAGAGAACCCCUUAUCAACCAUUUCGUAUAUUAGUUCUGAUGCUUUUGGUAAAUCCUCAUGCCUGAGAAACCCUUGAAUGAUGAUAUUAUAACAACAAUUAUUUGGUAAACAUCCUACCUUUUCCAUGUCUUUAAAUACGUUAUACGCUUCAUCAAUCAAUCCUUGUUGGCAGAGUCCUUUCAUAAUUGCAUAAUAUACAUAAACAUCAGGUUGUAAACCAAUUUCAAAAAGACUAUAAAAAAGUUCCUUGGCAUCAUUAAUCUUCCCAACUUUGCACAUACCAUUGAUCAGACUGCUAUAGAUCACAACAUUAGGUUUCAACUGACUUUUCUCCAUUGCUUUCAACAGUGUGAGUGCCUCAUCGAGAUUCCCCUGUCUACACAAGCCAUCAAUCAUAAUUGAGAAGGUUACUAUAUUUGGUUGUUGACCAUGAGAGCACAUAUCCUUAAAGAGCUCUUUUGCAUUUUGGGGCCUCCCUGCUUGAAAUAUACCCUCUAUAAGCGUAGAAUAAGUAACAACAUCAGGAACUAAACCUUUAUGAGACAUUUCAACAAAAAUAUCCUUUGCAUCAUCUAUCAUUUUGCACUUACAAUAUCCAUUGAUCAAAAUGCUGUAGCUAAAAAUGUCAGCUAUUUCAUUGGUCACCAUCAGAUCAAAUAGCUUUCUAGCCUUAUCAAUUUGCUUGCACAGACAAUAUCCAUCCAUCAAUGAAUUAUAAUUGACAACAUCAGGUUCCACACCUCUUUGAAUCAUUAUCUUGAUUAUAUUCUGUGCAUUUGAAACCAGUCCUUUCUUACAAAGAGUGUCAAUCAAUAUAUUGAAGGUAAAAACAUCAGGGGAUAUGUUCCUCCCCACCAUUUCUUUCAACAAGGCCAAAGCUUCCUUGAAUUGGUCUGAAAUGCAAAGACCAUCAAUUAAGGAAUUGUAGGUGACCACAUCAGGCUCUACACCUCUUUGAACCAUUACAUUGAAUGUAUUUUGAGCCUCUGAAACCAUUCCAUCCUUACAAAGAGCAUCGAUCAAUACAUUGAAGGUAUAAACAUUUGGUAAUAUGUUUUGCUCCACCAUUUCAUUCAUCAAGGCCAAAGCUUGGUUCUUUUGGCCUAAUUUGCAAACACCAUGAAUUAAACUAUUGUAAGUGAUGACAUUAGGUGAAAUGCCCUUAUUCCUCAUUUGAGAGAAGAGCUCUAAAGCCUCACUAACUAGCUCAUCCUUGCAAAGAGCGUCAAUGAUUGCAUUGUAUGUCACAACAUUUGGCUCACAACCUCUAUCAGCCAUUCCCUUUAGUAGCCCAAUAGCCACAUUUGUUUUCCCAAAUUUACACAUUCCGUUUACUAUCACAUUGAAAGUACGAACAUCAGGUUGAUAACCACGUGCAACCAUAUAAUCGAAAAAUUCCACCGCUUUAUCGAUUUUACGCUCCAUACAAAGCCCAUUAAUUAAGGUAUUAAAUGUCACAGUGGUAGGCUCCAAUCCGAAUUUGAGCAUCUUACCAAAAACAGAGAAGCCAAAAUCCACAAGGUGCAAGUGGCAGAAACAAUUAAUUAAGAUGCUAAGAGAAUAAACAUCGUGUGAGAUUCCUAGCAAUUCAAUUGUUUUGGGCAUGGAAAAGACAGUGUGAUAUUGUUUCAUUUUCACAAGGGCAGAUAAGAAUCUACUAAAUUGAGCCCUAGAAGGAAGAGGAUGCUUAUGAAUUACAUGAUUGAAGGAAGCAAUGGCAUCAUGAAGGUGGGUAAAAGAAGCAGAUUUGAAGUUAUUUGUCAAGAAGCGUGCAUCUUCAAGUGUGGAAGUAGAAGAAUGGCAAUAAUUGGUAAAUAAGAAUAGGAAUGGAGAUUGAAUGGUACCAAUUGCCCCUUGUAGCUGAAGAUGGAAGCUCCUGCUCUUCCUCCUCGAAGGCAUCUUCAUCAUCAUGGAUCUCUUGUCAGUUGUUUUUAGGGAUGGAUCGGAGAUUGGGAAUGAGGAAAGGAAAUAGAGAAUCGGAAAAGGAAGGCUCUCUGCCAGCUGGUAAUGUGGUAAGGAUAAUACCUCGUGUACGUUAAAUCAUAUUAUAAUCAAACUAUUUUCUACACCUUCAUUUUGAGAUUUCUAAUAGAUACUCAAGUAUUAUAGGGGUUGUCCACAAUCAACCAUCGGGUGUUUAUUUAUUUUACAAAUUGAUAUCGAUAUUAUACCCAUCAAGAAUGUCAGGAUACUUUCACUAAAAAUUAUUCUUGAUAUUAAUUACACUAUAUUUUAUAUAUAUAAAGUAAAACCAAACUUUUUUCAUAUUGUUUAAAUGAAAGUAAAAUAAAGAUUUUUUAUUGUUUUUAUAGCAAAUCCUUUUAUUAUUGAGAAAAAACUUAAAUUUGAUUCAAAAUUCUAGACUAUCUCUUGCUAGCUGUAUUAGAGUUGUUUAUUUCAUUUUUUUAAUUUCAUAAAUGAUUUUGCUUUUUUAAAAAAAUUAUUAGUUUUUUCCUUUUAUAAAUUAAAUGUAUAAUUUUUUUUCUCAGUAGAAAAGUUAAAUUUUUAUUUUUUUUUAUUUUUUAUUUUGCAAUAUAUAGACAAACAAUCCUAUUUAAUGUAUAUGUUUAAUAAAGGAAUAGCUUAGUUACAUUGAAAAGUGAUAUCUUAAGCAUUAAUUAUACAGUACAAAUUACGUAAUGAUUUUGUGAAUCAUGCUGUAAGCGAAUAUAUAUAUAUAUAUAUGAGUGCAAUUGUGUAGAAAGUGAAUUAAGAAAUUAAUUUGCUUAUUGGUAAAUUGAUAUUUUUAAAUAGGCUUAUGAGCAUUUAAUUUUUAUAUUUUGUCAAAAUUGACCAUUUAAUUUUUUAAUUCUGUCAUUUGGUUAAAAUAAACUUUUAUAUUAUUUAUUUUUUAAUUUUAUAUAUAUAAUUUAAUUUUUUAAAUUAAAGCUAAAAAUAUAUUUACUAAUAUUUUAUUCGAUAAGAAUAUGAAAGAGUUUGAAUUUAUAAAAUUCAAAAUGUUUUAAUUGAGUGAUUUGAAAAUAGAGAUUGAAUAAUUAAUUUUGAUAAAAUAUAAGGAUUUAUUAAUAAUUUAAAUAUAUAAAAAAGAAUUAUUUAAAACUCUCUAAAGUUUCAUAUGAUAACCCCUUACAAGUUUCAGUAGUUCAUCAAACUUGUCAGUAGUGUAAAUAAGUUCGAUUGGCCAUUAAUUUUGGAGUCGAAAUCACUAUCCUGAAACUGUUUAAUCAGUUCUUGUAAUGCUGGAAACUUCAGAUUCUCUACUGAGAUUUAAUAUUUUUUGCUCUCGUCACCCACGUAAAUGGCUACAUAACCUUUUCGAAUUUAUGGGAUUUUAACUUUCAAAUCAGUCGAAUUGGAGAAUAAUUUAUAGGAAAAAGAUUAAGUAAUUGUAUAAUGUUAAUCUAAAAUUUUAGGAAGAAUUUAUUUUCUUGCUAAAAACUCUCUACAAUGAUAUUAUUAUCAAAAUUUUCUAAGUUAAAGGAAAGGUUUGAGUGUGAAGAACUCGAAAGGAAAUUAUAUAGGAGAGAAGAGUAAUUGAGAUUUAAUUUAUAUAUAUGGAUAAGGAGUGGAUUUUUAUGAUAAAAUUUAGAUUUUUAGCAUUAGCUAAAAUUUUUUAGCUGGAUUAAUUUAUUAAUUGGUUUAAAAAAAGUUGCAAAUUAAAACAGUGAAGAAGAAUCUUUAUUAAUUAUCGAAUUAUUUUCAUUUUAAUUUAUUAAUGGUAAUUGCUAAAUAUGGUAAUUAAGUGAUGCUUCAGUUUAUAAUUUUGAGAAUAAAUAAAAUUUCUUUGAUUUUAUGAUUUUAAGUUUCUUAAGAUGGUAGAAUUAGUUUAUAGGUCAGUAGAUUUUUUGUAAGGAGUUUGAAAUGGUUAUAAUAAAAAAAUUAAAUAUUUUAUUUUUUUUAUAUCAACACGAACAUUGUUAAAAAUAACAAAAUUAUUAAAAUUAUUGAAUAAAUUAAUAAAAAUUAAUAAGAUUAGCUAAAAUUAAUCAUGAGUGAAAAUAUUGAAUAACAUAAAAAUUUUGAUUUUUUCUUUUGUUAUUUAAUUUUUUUUAAAGAAAUGAAGAUAACUAUUUUUUAACAAAAGUGGGGCCAUUGAAACUAGAAUUAGCUGCUUCGAUUCAAUUUUUCUUUUCCUUUUUUGUAAAUGUUAUGUAGAUUCCCUUCAUUUUUUUUUUCUUACUAGAAUUUAUUUUCUUUUUGUAGUUUAUUAACUAUCAUACAUUACAAAAUAAUGUUUAAUGGAAAAUUUUAAUUAUAGUUUUAUUAAUAAUGAUGUUUAUAUUAAUUUUAUAUUAUUUAAUUUUAUAUAAUAAGAUAAAUAAUAGAAAAAUAAAAAUAAAAAUACCUUAUAUAUAUAUAUAUAUAUAUUUAUUUAUUGAAAGGUUAAUUUAUGUAAGAGUUUUUUUAUAAUAAAGUUAUAUAUUUAAUUUAAUUAAAAUUAUAUUUUUUUAAAAUAGAAUUUAUAUUUAAAUAAAAAAAAUUCUAACCGAUUAAAUUAAAUAUUUUAUUUUUAAUCAAUUAAAAUAAAGAGUUACUUAUAAUUAUUAAAUUUAACCACCUUUUAUAUUGAAAAUUUCAUUAUUUCCCUUUACUUUCCAUUUAUAUAAAUAUAUAUGUGUAUAUUAUUAAAAAUCAAAUAAUCACAGAUAAAAAAAAUAAGCGAUACACAAAUUUAAUGUGAUUAAUCAAUUUGGCAAGAUCAUGACGAUUAUUUUUUUUUUUAUUUUUCUAUGAAUUUUUGAAUAUAAUACACUAGAAAAAUAUUAUAUUUUUAUAUGUCUAAGAAAAUAUAAAAAAGAUAUAAUAGUUUUAAAAAAUUUACGAUCAUGGAGUAUAAUGUAUAUUUUAUAAUAUAUUAUUAGUUUCCAUAUCUCAACAUAUAUAUAUUUUAUAAAAUAAAAUUUAUAAUAAAUAGAAAAUAAUUUUAACCAAAUAAAUUAAAUAUUUUAGAGAAUAAUUUUUUUUUCAAUAAAUCAAAAUAAAUAGUUAAUUUUACUUUAUGUAUAUAUAUAAUAAGUUUUAGUUUAAAACUAAUAAAUUUAAAACUAAAUAAUUUUAAUUAAAUAAGUAUAUAUAAAAAUUAAUUCACAAACUUGUAAAAACCAAAUUUUUAAAUAUUAACGAUCCCGAUGUCUGCAAGUUUUAAAAGUGUAAUUAAACUAUAUAAAGUUAAAUUUUAAAAAACUAAGAUUGACUUGUGAAAGUAUAUGUAGAGUUUAAACUUAUUUCUCUUAUGAUAUUAAUCUCAACCUAUCACGAGAACACCUAUCUGAUUUGGAGUGAUACACUCUGCUAAUUUCUUCUGGUGCUUCACAUUUCUUGAUUAGUGAUCAUUAAUCUAAUUAAUAUUAAGUAAUCAUAUAGAUUUUACACACUAAUAUUUAAAAAUGUCUCUUUUCUUCUGAAUCCAAGGACCAUACUUACAGAUUCAAGCUCCGGAUUCAAGGCUCUUCUUCUCCAAUACUCUGCAUCGUCAACCAUCAAUAAAAAUAGCGCAGCCAGAAGCUUGACUGCAUUUGCAGUGAAUCUUCGCUCAGCUGAAGACUCUUGAGACUUUGUUCUUCUUCACUGUGUCAUUUUGAGACAAGAAUCAUUUUGUAAGCCAAUUACAAGAAAAGCUAUUUUUGAGGCAUAACUGUACUAAAUAAUCUGCAACUAAAUUUGCUUUUUUGUAAAUUUUAUCCCUGUACUUUAUUGAAAUAUAAGAUUUGGUCCUUAUAUUUUUAAAUUCUACUAUUAAGUCCCUAAAAAUUUUGACAGAAAAAUCAACAAUUCAGUCCCUACCAUCAAAACAAGAGUUAACUUUCUCUUAAAACUAUUAAAAAAUGACCAUAAUGCCUUCUAGUAUAUAUUUUUAUAUUAAAAUAUUAAUUUUUAAUGAUGAUUAGGAUGCUGACGUGAUAUUUCUGUUAAAUCUAACAUCAAAUUUACUGGUAGGUUAUAAAUAAAUUUAGAUAGUUAGUUUAGAGUAUAUUAGUUAAUUUUUAUAAUUUAGAGUAUAUCUGUUAAAAUGCGAAUAGUUCAAAGUUUUUUUUGCCACCAUCCCUUUUGCAAAUUGAUCUUGAAUACUUAUUAUAUAUAAUCUUAUUCAUAAAUAGUUAUAAUAUGUAAGGAUUAAUUUGUAAAAUUAUAGAAAUUAUUUGUCAAUAAUUAAUGUUGGAAAGAAUCCUCUGCCAUGAUUGUAAAUCAAUCAGUGAUCCUCUGUCAUGAUUGUAAAUCAAUCAGUGAUCAAAUCUUACCAUGUUUAGCAUAGCACAAUUCUAGGACAUAAUUGAGGGCACAAUCAAAGGUCUAAUUGUUCAUAUUAUGUACUAUAUAAACUCUGUAACUUACUACACAAGAGGUAAGAAAAUAAAAACAGUUUUCUUCCUAUAAUCUCAAGAUGGUAUCAGAGCGGGUUUGGGUCUAAAAAUAUAGUCAUCCUGCAAUAAUCCUUUACCAGAUACCUUUCCCAACUUCUUUCUCUCACCAAAACAACAAUGGCCGACCUUCCCAGCCCGGUUGACCAAUCCCAGGCAAUAAUUGAUCCAAUAGCAGACCUGUCACAAAAACUAUUCCAGUUAAUUCAGAAUAGCCAAGAUGGAAAUCAGAAAUCAGUGAACCAAUUCACUCUUGAUUCAGCACAGCCACCAUCCGACAUAAAAUUGAAUGAUUCCAAUUAUGUUGUAUGGGCAAAGAUGAUGGAGAUGUUUAUCACGGCGCUACAAGAAGCCGCGAAAGGAGGAGGCACAUGUGUCCCUUAUGAUCGAGAAGGAGGUAUUUUAGGGUUAGAAAGGAGGGCAAAUGACCUUUCUACCCCUGUCUCUUUAAAUAAAUCUAAAUGUGCCUCUGCUUGUUUUAAUUCUUGUAAAAUUAAAUCCCUGGUCUCGGAUGUUUUAGAUAAGUUUGGUUGUAAUCCCAAAACUGAAUCGUUAGCCCCUAAUUCUAUCGGUCAUGCUAACAAGGUACAAAAUACUAAUGGGUGGAUAUUUGAUUCAGGAGCCACAGAUACUAUGACUAAUGAUUCUUCAGAUUUUGUUGUGUCAGCCCCACCCUCAAAAUCCAAUAUUCUAAACGCUACCGGUGGCUCCUUCCCGGUCAUCAGUGGUGGUACCGUUUCUAUAACCCCCACUUUAAAUGUCUCCAACAGCCUCUAUAUACCUUCCUUAUCUUGCAAAUUACUCUCUGUCAGUCAGAUCACCAAACAGUUAAAUUGCAGAGUACUCAUGUAUCCUCAUUUUUGUGUUUUGCAGGAUAUUCAUACGGGCACGGUACUGGGCCGUGGUACUGAGAAAGAUGGACUAUACUAUGUGGAGGAGGUCUCAAAUACUGGGUCAGCUCAUUUAGCUCAAGGGUCCUCAACCCGACAGUUAUGGUUCUGGCACCGGCGCUACGGCCAUCCCUCAAGUGAUUAUCUUCGUACUUUGUUUCAUGAGUUUAAAUCCAUUGACAUUUCAGUUUGUACUUCAUGCGUGCUUGCUAAGAGUCAUAAGAGUACUUAUCAUAUAUCCACAAAUAAAUCUGAUACUCCCUUCUCAAUAAUACACUCUGAUGUAUGGGGGCCUGCCCCGGAAACUGUCUCCCUUGAUUAUAGAUACUUUGUGACUUUUAUUGGUGAUUGCACUCGUGUUACUUGGGUUUACCUGUUAAAACAAAAAAGUGAAGUGGCUGAGACAUUCUGUGAUUUUUUCCGCAUGAUUAAAACCCAAUUUUACAGGACCAUUCAAGUCCUCCGAUCUGACAAUGGGGGGGAAUUUGUCAAUAACCAUCUCCAAACCUUUUUCUGGGAUAAUGGGAUCCUUCACCAAACUACUUGUCCUUAUACACCACAGCAAAAUGGGGUUGCUGAAAGGAAAAAUCGACAUAGCCUUGAGACUGCCAGAGCCCUAUUGUUUGAAGCCCAAGUUCCUCCUAAGUUUUGGUCUGAAGCAGUUGCCACAUCCAUUUACCUCAUCAAUCGACUUCCGUCUCGCGUCCUUAAUUUCCAAUCUCCCUUGCAUACCUUGUCCUCUCAUCACACCAUCCCUUCCCAUCUCAACCUUCCACCUAAAAUCUUUGGCUGCACAGUUUAUGUUCACAUUCCUAAAACACACCGCACUAAACUUGAUCUAUGUGCUCUUAAGUGUGUUUUCUUUGGUUAUGGUGUCCAUAAAAAGGGCUAUCGGUGUUUUGACCCAAUCUCUAAACGGCUCUUCACUACCAUGGACUGCACUUUUCUGGAAGAGGAAUAUUUUUUUCCCUCGCCAACUAGCAGUGAGGGGGAGACAACGGCACAAUCACCACCACUGCCAAAUUGGCUUAGUCAAGAGGGGCCAUAACUUGAUCAUUCUUCUCUUCCUGAGUCUAUACCAGAACUGGGAGACACCAGUCAUUCUUCCCUUCCUGAGUCUACACCAGAACUGGGAGACACUAACCAUCUAGUACAGUCCUUGGAAUCAACAUCACAACCAGAACCUGGCACCGUAGAAUAUCCUGAGGAACACACAACUGAGGUAUGUGAAUCUGAACUUUCUCCUGUUCCUAAUAACCUCACCACUGAACCCAUUUCCCUUGAGGUUCUUGAAACAGGCCAAUAUGUUCUACCCCCUCGGAAUAAUAGAGGAAUUCCACCCAGGAGAUAUGAUCCAGAAUUCGAGGCAGCCAGGUCCAGAUACACUGGCAAACGUUACCAGAGGAGAAAGACUAUCACCUCAGUUGGUCAACUACAGAAAAACAUUUGCUCAGAAUGGAUACCAAAGGAUGCCACAGAGGCCCAAAAGGACAAAAGAUGGGUUGAGGCAAUGGAGAUCGAGAUGGAUGCCCUGGAGAAAAACAAGACCUGGGAAAAAUGCUGGCUACCCAAGGGAAAACAACCAGUGGGAUGCAAAUGGGUGUUUACCAUAAAGUAUAAGUCAGACGGAACGGUGGACAGAUAUAAAGCUAGACUUGUAGCAAAAGGAUAUACUCAGACUUAUGGAGUUGACUAUUCUGAAACAUUCUCUCCAGUAGCAAAAAUUGACACAAUACGGGUCCUAUUCUCUCUAGCUGCAAACCUAGACUGGCCACUUCACCAAUUUGAUGUGAAAAAUGCUUUCUUGCAUGGUGAUCUAGAAGAGGAAGUAUACAUGGAUGCUCCACCAGGGUUCAUGAGUGGAUAUAGAAGGGGAGAAGUGUGUUGAUUGAGGCGAGCCUUGUAUGGGUUGAAACAGUCACCCAGAGUAUGGUUUGGGAGAUUUACUCAAGUAAUGAAGAAAAAUGGAUAUCGGCAGAGUAACUCCGAUCACACUCUAUUCUUGAAGAGGCAAGGAAGGAAGAUCACGUGUUUGAUUAUAUACGUGGAUGACAUGAUUAUAACUGGAGACGAUGUGGACGAAACCAAACAACUGAGGGACAACUUAUUCCAAGAAUUUGAGAUGAAAGACCUAGGGAUUCUAAAAUAUUUUCUUGGAAUCAAAGUUCUCAGAUCAGACCAGGGAAUUUUGAUAUCACAGAGAAAGUACAUUCUUGAUCUGUUAAUUGAAACAGGAAUGAUAGAUUGCAAACCAGUCGAUACUCCGGUAAUGGUCAAUCAUGAGUUAAGUAAGGACUCAAAAGAAGGACCCACAGACAGGGGGAGGUACCAGAGACUGGUAGGAAAACUGAUUUAUUUAUCACACACCAGAUCAGACGUGGCAUAUGCUGUGAGUUUGGUAAGUUAGUUCAUGCAUGAUCCAAAACAAGACAAUAUGGAGGCAGCAUUGAGAAUCGUUUGAUAUCUGAAAGGAACAGCUGGGAUGGGCAUGUUGUUCAAAAAGAAUGGUCAUUUCAAUAUCAGUGGAUAUACGGACGCAAGUUGGGCAGGAGAUCUCUCCGACAGACGAUCUACUUCAGGAUACUUUACCUUUGUCGGAGGAAAUUUGGUAACGUGGAAAAGUAAGAAACAAAAGGUGGUGGCACUGUCAAGUGCUGAAGCAGAAUUCAGGGGAAUAGCAAAAGGACUGGUAGAACUCCUAUGGAUCAGAAAGUUGAUGUUUGAGCUUGGAUUCCCAUCAAAGGAUGCAGCUGAACUCCAUUGUGACAACAAGGCGGCAAUAAGCAUUUCUGAAAAUCCAGUUCAGCAUGAUCGAACAAAAUAUGUUGAAAUAGACUGACAUUUCAUCAAAGAAAAGUUGGACAGUGGUCUGAUAUCUUUACCGUUUGUUCGAUCAGAGGAUCAAUGGGCGGACAUCCUAACCAAAGCAGUAGCUGGACGAAUAUUCCAUGAGGUUUUGGGCAAGUUGGGUAUGCUAGAUCCACAUGAACCAACUUGAGGGAGAGUGUUGGAAAGAAUCAUCUGUCAUGAUUGUAAAUCAAUCAGUGAUCAAAUCUUACCAUGUUUAGCAUAGCACGAUUCUAGGACAUAAUUGAGGGCACAAUCAAAGGUCUAAUUGUUCAUAUUAUGUACUAUAUAAACUCUGUAACUUACUACACAAGAGGUAAGAAAAUAAAAACAGUUUUCUUCAUAUAAUCUCAAGAAUUAAAAUAUUCAGAAUUAAUUUGUAAAAUAGAAGGAGUUAUUUGUAAAUAAGUAUAUUAUUAGGAUCAACUUGUAAAAUUGUAGGUACUUAUUUAUAAAGAGUAAAAACUUUGUGAUUAAAUUUAUAAUAAUAUUAGGAUAAAUUAAAAAAUAUAAAAUUUAAAUUAGAAGACUAAACUAUAAAUCUAAUUAAACGUAUGAAAUUUUAUUGUUUUAGAUGAAAAUAUAUUUUAGAGGGUAUUAUGAUAUUUUUUAAUAGAUUCAAAAGUCUUAAAAGUUUAAAAGGAAUCGUAUUGUAAAGAUAAGAAUCAAUAUAACGUCUUAAUUUGUAUCGAUAAUGCAGUGAUUUUACCAUUUGCAAUUUUUAAUAAAAAUCUGUUGGUAAAUAAAUUAUCUAAUUCAUUGUUAAAAAGUUCGAUGGUAAAUUUUUAUUAAUAACUUUUAAGUCCGUUAAUAAUACUAAUGGAUUUAUUAAUAGAGUUUUGAUUAUUAUUAAUAACAGAUUUUAAAUCUGUUAAGAGAAAAAUAAUUUACUAAUAAACGUGAAAUCCGUUAAGAAAUUACCAACGUAUUGUAAUUCUUAGUCAAUUUAUUGAGUUUAAAUAAUUUUUUAUUAAUUUAAUAAGACUUAAAAUUAUAUUAUUAUUGUUACUAAGUUUUUAAUUUAUACCCAAUGUGUAUUAGAAAUACAUAGAAAGUGAAAAUAAGAGAAAAGUAAAUGGUAUAAAAUGAGAGAAAAUAAUAAAAGAGAAAGAAAAAAGAGAAAAAUAAAGAAAAUGAUAGAAAAAUAAAAAUUAUGAAAAAGAAAGAAGAAUGAGAGUAGGGUAAAAAGAUGAUUAGAGAAACAGAAAAAAAAGUGAACAAAUGAUUGGAGAAGAAAAUAAAUAAAGAGAAAAAAUAUAGAUGGAAAGAAAAUGAUAAAAGAAAUAAUACUAGAAAAACUAAUAUGAAUGAAAAUUAUAAAGAAAAUAAGAAAAUAAUGAGAAAAUGAAAGAAAAAUAUGGAAAAGAAAAUGAAGAAAAUGAAAGAAAAAUUAUGAAGAAUGAAUGAAAAUAAUAGAAGAUGAAAGAGAACGAUAGAAAGUAGGAUAAGAGAUGAAAAAAAAGAAAAAAUAGAAACAAUAAGAAAAAAAAAACUUAUAAGAUAAAAAAGUGAAAUAAAAAAAAAUAGAAAAUGAAAGAAAAUGAGAGAAGGGGAAAAUCUGGAAGAAAGUAAAAUGAUAAAAUGAAUGAAUGAUAAAAAUAUAAAAGUUGGUGUUAUAUUUAUAAAUGCGAAUUACUAAUGAAUUUGUAAUUUAUUAUUAAAUUAAAAAAAUAACUUUUUUCUCUCCAAAAAAUUAUCAAUAGAUUUCAAAUUUAUUAGUAAACCCGUUAAUAACCGAAAAAUAUAAAUCGUAAAAAAAAAAGUGAAAAUUUAUGCAGAUUUUAUUUUAAAUUUACCAAUUGAUAUAUUAGCGAAUAGCAUCCAUCCAUAAAUUCAACAAUUUUUUUUAUGUAUUAAUUUAAUGAUAAAAUUUAAUAAUAGAUUUUUAAAUUCGUUAGUAAUUUUUUAGGCAAAUUACUAAUAUAUUUAGAGUUCGUAAGUAAUUUAAACACUUUUUAAAAUUUACUUAGGAUGUAAACAAACUGAGCAUAACCUAGUUUUGAAGAGUUCAAGUUUGGUUUGUUAAAAAUUUUUCAAACUCGAGCCGAACUCAAGGUUUAAUCAUUUCGAACUCAAGUCGAGUAUUAAUAAUGUCAAGCUUACUCAUUUAGCAAAUAAACUUAGAUGAGUCGAGUUUUUAUCGAAUUUAAUCUUGAAUAAUUCACGAAUAGUUAAAUUUAUUUACAUAUAUAAUGAAUUUUAUUUUAUGAUCAAAUAUAAUUUAGUCACAUUUUUAUUAUCUUUAUUACUAUUUAAUUACACAUUUUUUCAGCUUAAUUUAUGUUUUUAUAGUGUUUUUGCGGAAAAUGGAGAAAAUGGAAAGUUAGAGAAAAAGUGCAGAAAAAACUGGGAAAUUGAUUGGGUCAGAGUGAUUUGGCCAAAUCACCCGCAGGAAACCAAAACAGAAGGCUAAAGGCAGAAACCUGGAAGUAAUUCACAGAAAUGAUUUGGGCAAGUGAUUUGCCCAAAUCACACUAACGCUAGAGAGACCAAUAACGCGGGAAAGAAGAGCAGAAAAUCAAAAUUCAAAAGUGGAGAAGUCCAAUCCUACUUCAAACACUACAAAGUCAAUUCCAAGAGCCACGAGAAGGUCUUUCACUCAAGAAAUUCCAUUCACAAUUAAAUACAAAAUCAAAAGAGAAAUCAAAGACUACAAAAGACCAAGUCAAAAUUAGGAUUUUCAAACCCUAAUUGGACUAGGAUUCUCCAUCUAUAAAAGGGACAGCAUCAAAAACAGCUAGGGAGAUCUCUCCACAGUCGGAAUUUCUGCAAAAACUCGGCAGAAGCACAACAGCCUCCUCUCUUUUCUUUCUUCUUUCUUUUUUGUGAUUUUGUCCACCAUGAGUGGCUAAACACCUUCUUUUCUAGUUGAAGUUGGGAAAUUUCAGAUUUGUGAUGAAUUGAGAGAUUUAAAACUCUAUUAUUAAACUCUUAUUUAUUUUCAAUAUUUAUGCAACUUGAUCUUUCUAUUAUUAUUGCUUUGCUUUUAGAAUCAAUUAAGGUCUAUUACUUUUAAUUGCAUGAGUAAUAUAUUGUUUGAAUGAUUUAGGUCCGUAAUUACUUAGAUUGUUUAAACUCAAGUAUAAUCGGUUGCAUAAUCUAAACUUGACCACGCGGUUGGCAAGGUUAGAAUUAGAUUUCUCUAAAUCUUAAGGCAGUUAACAGUUGAAAAGUAAAAAAAUCCCAAAAACGUUUAUUGGCAACUUGUUAACUAGUGUUUAAUUAGCAAACAUUUCCUAAUCAUACUAAAACUAAGGAGAAAUUUGGAUUGUGAGAAACGUCUUCCACAUCUUAAACUAAUUUAUUGAAAUAAAUAGGGGUAUCAAAAAGAUCAAUGAUCAAUUCUAAAUAAGUUGAAAUAGAUCCAUACUUCAAUUAGAAUCCUUCUCCCAUUGAUUUACUCAUUUAUUUAAUUACUGCUUUCUUUUACUCAAUUGUAAUUCUUCAAAACAAAAUGCCGCCUUUUAUUUACUUUUAUUAUUUAUUUGUCCAAGUCAUUAUUAGGAAAAUUCGUAUUGUCAAAUCCAUGUGGUUUGACCCUAUUGUCACUAUCUACAAAUUAUUUUAUUGAUUGAAAAUAGGUUUAUUUUUUACGGUUUCGACAACCGCUAUCACUUUAAAACUAAUAAAUUUAAAACUAAAUAAUUUUAGUUAAAUAAAUAUAUAUAUAUAAAUUAGCUCCUAAAUUUAUAAAGAUAAGAUCUUAAAUUUUAACCUCUAAAUAUAUGCAAGUUUUAAUAGUGUAAUUAAAGUAUAUAGAGCUGAAUUUUAAAAAAUUUAAAUUUGGUUUAUGAAAGUAUAUGUAGGGUUUAAAAUUAUUUUUAUUAUGAUAUUAAUCUCAGUCUGUUUAACGAGACUACUCACAAGUUGUUCGUGAGCCUGUUCAUGAACUCGAAAAUGAACUGACAUCUUGAGUCUUAACGAGCCGAAUAUUAUGAAAUUUAAACUUGACUCAUUUACUAAAUAAAUUUAAAAAUUAAAUUUGAGCUUGCAUCAUAUAGAAAUAAAGUCAAAAUCGAUCAAGUUUUUAUCGAGUUGAAUCUCGAAUAACUCAUAAAUGGUUUAAUUCAUUUACACCCCUAAAUUUAUUAACAGAUUCAAAUUAUCAAUAAAUUACCAAAGAAUUUAUUAACAGAUUUUAAAUCUGAUAGGAAAUUUCAACACCAAUUAUUUUAUAAAUUUAUAAAGUUUUACAGAAUUUUUAAAUCCGUUAAUAUUAAUUUCAAAUUCGUGGUGAAUAAUAAUUUAUAAAGUUUUAAAGAAUUUUUAAAUCCGUUAAUAUUAAUUUCAAAAUUGUGGUGAACUUUUACAUGAUUUGUUGGUGAAUUUUUACAUAAUUUUUUUAUAUUAAGAAUUAAGAUGAAUUUUUAAAUUUAUUAAUAAAUUCAUUAAAUUUACUAAUGAAUUAAAGCACUAAUAAAAUCUGUUGGUAAUACGAAAAUAUAAAAAUUUCUUGUAGUGAAAAUUGUCCGGACAAAAUAUCUAUAAGUGGAUUGUGUGGUGCUGUGCUCUUCAUUAUCGGUAGAUCUACGAGGAGCUGAGAUUAUUGCAUAUAUAUAUAUAUAAUGUAUUCGAUUAUUUUUAUAUUUAAUAUUAUUUUAUUAAUUUUAUAAAUUAAAUUAUUCAUAUAACUUAAACAUAAUUAUUUUCCUUUUAAUUAUUAAACAAUUAUUAACAAUAUUAAAAAAUAAUCAUAUAUUCUAAUUAAUUAUUAAAAAUUUCUAACAAUAUAUAAUUAAAUAAUUUAAUUAAUUAAUUUUAGUGUAUUCUACCUAAGUAGAUUAUAUAUGUGUGUGUAUUUUUUUAUAUCAACCAUAAAUGUAUUAAUUAUUUUGUAGUUUUUAAUUAUAUAAAUAAAUUACGUAUUAAUAAUAUAAUAUAUUUUUAUAUAUUAAUUAUAUCUAUUUUUUAAUGAAAAUUAUAUAAUUAAUAACUACAUAAAAUAAUAAAAUAUUCUUAUCCAGAGUUAUAUAUAAUAUAUAUUAUAUUACUACAGUUAUUAUUAUUAUUAUUAUUAUUUAAUAUUAAUUAUUUAUUAUUUUAAAAUAAACGUAAAAGGCUAUUACGAUUUUAUUUGUAAAAAUUAAAAUUUAAAAUGAAACAAAAUUAAAAUUAAAAUAAUAAAAAAAAUUGAAAUCAAAUUGAGACUACUGAAAUUACUUAGAACUAUACUAAAUUUCAAUUCUAAAUAUGAUUCUACAUAAAUUUAAUUUGGUUCUGUUUCUUAGCAAAAACUAUAGCUUUUCCUUUUAGCAUGUUGCCUUUUAUGAACUUGUUCAUAAAUAAAUUUGGACAAAAAGUCCUGUUAAAUAGCUGAAGCUAAACUAGCAUUUUAAUCGCUAGUAGGACCAAUUGCAGUUGCUUAUCUCAGUGGCUGCAUGUCUGAUUUUCAUCCUCUUCUUUUGCUUAUAAUUUCUAAACCAAUCAGCAAGUAUCUCUAACAUGCCCAAAAGCUUUCCAAAAGUCUCAAAAUCUAUAUGAAACUCUUUCCUCCACUCCCAACUUUCUAACUUCCUAACUUUUCUUUUAAGAAUGAGGAGGCUGAACAUAUAAUUAUACUAAAAACAAACUCAUAUCUUUAAUGAUGCUUUAAAACACCAAGUUUAUCCCAUAGUUUCUUCAAUCUUCUAAAGUAAACAACAACUGAUAUAGAUUCUUGACUGAAACUACUUAUUUCUUUCUUUAAUUGGUGUAUAAGUUGCCCAAAUCUUUCUUUAAAGCAAGUGUCAUAGUCACAGACAUACUCCAAGUCGAAUAAUUUACUAAAUUUAAAGGUGCAGAUAGAUAUGAGAAUCCUACUUGGAUUAUCUGAGUUUUAAAGAGUAGAAGGAUCUGAAUCAUUUUGCAAUUGGUUUCCUACCUCUCAAUAUGUACCCUGUCAGCCCCACCUUCUCUAACAAACCAUUUUCCAUGGAUGCAGUCACAAAAACUUCAAGAAUGAUGCAUCUUGCAAAAAGAAAAAUACCGUGUACAAACAAGAGCCCAAAGAAAAUUUUAUUGAGUAUAUUACAAGGUUUAGAAAGUGGUAAAAACAUAAGAUGUCUCAUUAUAUACUGCUGAAAGGAGAAAAGAAACAACCAAAACAUCUUUUCUUGCCUAACUUAACUAACAUCUCAAACAGUAAGAAACAAUGCGUUUCACAUUCAUAACACCACACAAAUGUAUCGCAAAAUGCACCAUAUAAAUAACUCAAAUGGUGGUCCAACACUAAAAUAUAUCCGUUAUAUACCAUAUUGACAAAGAGGAUGUUUGCUUUUCCCUCAAUUCCCAUAACAUUUUCUGUUGUCUAUAAUUUUAGUGACUUUUCAUCCAACCAACAGCUGUAGAAGUCUAGUGAUUUUCUUACCUUGUAUUCUGGGACUGUAUAUCCUGCGCCCUGCAUUUAUAGUGUAGUAUAAUUGUUAAAUCAAUUCUCAAUUAAAGCACACCGGUUUAUAAUCAUUAGUUUCAUUAUAAUUAAAAAUUAUAAUAACAAAGCAAAAAUGAAUUGCUUAUACCUUUAUGGUUAGAAAGGUGAAGUUGUAGUCAUAUCCUUGCAAGUACCUACAAGAGAAAUGAUAGCAUUUUGAAAGGUCAUUGAGCACAAAAAUAAAAAUAGAUAAAGAUUCUUAGGCAUUGUAGUAUGGAACUAAUUAGUUUUAGUUCUCAACUCAAUGUUAGGACUGAGCUCUCGAGUUAAGGCUGUAGUAGCAGCAAAAAAAAAAAAUUGUAAUGGAGAUGGUGGGUUUACCAGCAACGUGAUGAUUAGAAAUCCAUGACCUCCAUUCAUCAACAAUCUUAUAUCAAAGAGAUCUAGUCCAUGUCAGAAUUCAAGCGAAAGGCACACACAUAUCAUGGUUUUCACCACAGGUCAUUUGCAGUGUUAGAAAUUUUCGUUUUGUGGAAGAGAAUCACAGCUGAUUGAAAUUAAAAAUGAUAUUUGAAGAAGUUAGUUAAAUUACAUAUUCUAUUAUAUUUGAAAAAGGUAAUUACCAAGUUGCGCUCCAAGACACACUUGAAUGGUCAAGAUAUAACAACUUUAGUUUGCUAAUCCCUCAUUGCGCACCUUUAAAAGCCUCAGAAUGAGAUUAUUAUUCCGCGAUAAAUGUACUAGCAAUUCUGUGGUAGCAUCAUCAGCAGUGAACCCCCUUAUCAACCAUUUCGGUGAUUAGUUCUGAUGCUUUUGGUAAAUCCUCAUGCAUGAGAAACCCUUGAAUGAUGAUAUUAUAACAACAAUUAUUUGGUAAACAUCCUACCUUUUCCAUGUCUUUAAAUACGUUAUACGCUUCAUCAAUUAAUCCUUGUUGGCAGAGUCCUUUCAUAAUUGCAUAAUAUACAUAAACAUCAGGUUGUAAACCAAUUUCAAAAAGACUAGAAAAAAGUUCCUUGGCAUCAUUAAUCUUCCCAACUUUGCACAUACCAUUGAUCAGACUGCUAUAGAUCACAACAUUAGGUUUCAACUGACUUUUCUCCAUUGCUUUCAAUAGUGUGAGUGCCUCAUCGAGAUUCCCCUGUCUACACAAGCCAUCAAUCAUAAUUGAGAAGGUUACUAUAUUUGGUUGUUGACCAUGAGAGCACAUAUCCUUAAAGAGCUCUUUUGCAUUUUGGGGCCUCCCUGCUUGAAACAUACCCUCUAUAAGAGUAGAAUAAGUAACAACAUCAGGAACUAAACCUUUAUGAGACAUUUCAACAAAAAUAUCCUUUGCAUCAUCUAUCAUUUUGCACUUGCAAUAUCCAUUGAUCAAAAUGCUGUAGCUAAAAAUGUCAGCUAUUUCAUUGGUCACCGUCAGAUCAAAUACCUUUCUAGCCUUAUCAAUUUGCUUGCACAGACAAUAUCCAUCCAUCAAUGAAUUAUAAUUGACAACAUCAGGUUCCACACCUCUUUGAAUCAUUAUCUUGAUUAUAUUCUGUGCAUUUGAAACCAGUCCUUUCUUACAAAGAGUGUCGAUCAAUAUAUUGAAGGUAAAAACAUCAGGGGAUAUGUUCCUCCCCACCAUUUCUUUCAACAAGGCCAAAGCUUCCUUGAAUUGGUCUGAAAUGCAAAGACCAUCAAUUAAGGAAUUGUAGGUGACCACAUCAGGCUCUACACCUCUUUGAAUCAUUACAUUGAAUGUAUUUUGAGCCUCUGAAACCAUUCCAUCCUUACAAAGAGCAUUGAUCAAUACACUGAAGGUAUAAACAUUUGGUAAUAUGUUUUGCUCCACCAUUUCAUUCAUCAAGGCCAAAGCUUGGUUCUUUUGGCCUAAUUUGCAAACACCAUGAAUUAAACCAGUGUAAGUGAUGACAUCAGGUGAAAUGCCCUUAUUCCUCAUUUGAGAGAAGAGCUCUAAAGCCUCACCAACUAGCUCAUCCUUGCAAAGGGCGUGAAUGAUUGCAUUGUAUGUCACAACAUCUGGCUCACAACCUCUAUCAGCCAUUCCCUUUAGCAGCCCAAUAGCCACGUUUGUUUUCCCAAAUUUACACAUUCCGUUUACUAUCACAUUAUAAGUAUAAACAUUAGGUUGAUAACCACGUGCAACCAUAUCAUCGGAAAAUUUCACUGCUUUAUCCAUUUUACCCUUCAUACAAAGCCCAUUAAUUAAGGUAGUAAAUGUCACAGUGGUAGGCUCCAAUCCGAAUUUGAGCAUCUUACCAAAAACAGAGAAGCCAAAAUCCACAAGGUGUAAACGGCAGAAGCAAUUAAUUAAGAUGUUAAGAGAAUAAACAUUGUGAGAGAUUCCUAGCAAUUCAAUUGUUUUGGACAUGGAAAGGACAGUAUGAUAUUGUUUCAUUUUCACAAGGGCAGAUAAGAAUCUAUUAAAUGGAGCCCUAAAAGGCAGAGGAUGCAUAUGAAUUACAUGAUUGAAGGACGCAAUGGCACCAUCAAGGUGAGUAAAAGAAGCAGAUUUGAAAUUAUUUGUCAAGAAGUGUGCAUCUUCAAGUGUGGAAGUAGAAGAAUGGCAAAAAUUGGUAAAUAAGAAUAGGAAUGGAGAUUGAAUGUUACCAAUUGCCCCUUGUAGCUGAAGAUGGAAGCUCCUGCUCUUCCUCCUCGAAGGCAUCUUCAUCAUCAUCGAUCUCUUGUCAGUUGUUUUUAGGGAUGGAUCGGAGAUUGGGAAUGAGGAAAGGAAAUAGAGAAUUGGAAAAGGAAGGCUCUCUGCCUGCUGGUAAAGGAAAUGCAUUACUCUGUCGUUUAUAUGCACCACAUUUUGUAAUUUUUUAUUAAAUUUUCAUAUAAAAAUAUUAUUUAAUAGCAAAUUAAAUUUAUCAUUUGUAGAUACCUAAUUAAAGGCAGUUAUAUAAAUUGUUAAUUUUAUUUUUAAUAUUAAUAAAAUUUCAUGAAAAAUAUAUUUAAUUUUUAGCUUAUAUAAUUUUUUAUUAUUAAUUAUUUUAUUUUAUUAUAAUAAAAUUAAUUUUUUUACCAAACUUUACUCUUAUAGGAAUUGUUUAGCGCAUUUUUAUUUUGACAUCUAUUUAGAUAAUAUUACGAUUUAAUUAAUGUAAUAAAAAAAUUAAUAUAUAAAAUUAUUUCAAAAUAAUAAAAUUUUGAAAUGCUCAAACUCACUACAUAUAUUUCGCAUUUUCAAUUUUAUUUGUUAUUAAUAUUAACGUAAAAUUAUAAUAUAUAAUUUUUUUUCUAUAGAUUUAAUAUACAGUAUAUUGUAUUAUAAAUUAUAAGAAAUUAUUUUUAAAAUAUGAAUAAUACUUAUGUACAAAAUAUCAUAAAAGUUAAAAAAUUAAAUUAAAACAUUAAAAUUCAUUAAAAUUAUAAAUAUUUUAUUUAUAUGAUCACAUAAUAAAUUUUAAAUUAAAAAAUUAAAUUAAUGUGUGAAACUAAUCAUAAAAAUAUAAAAUUAUUAGCAUGAAUUAUUUAUUCGGAAUUUUUAGCCAAAAACUCAGAUAUCUAUCAUUAUAAAAUUAAUACUUUUAAUAAUUUUUUAAGUAGAAAGUUUUAAAUUUUAGUUAGUUAUUUGUUUUAGAUUAUAAUGAAUUUAAUUUCAAUUUAAAUUAAAAAGUAAUAUAGUUAAUUAAUUAAAUAUUUUUAAAUAGCAAUAAAAUACAAUAAAUUUAUAAUUAUUAAAUGUAGUUUGACAAUUUAAAUAAUAAUAGCUUCUUAAUUAUUUAUAUUUAAAUUAUCAUUUUUAUAUCUUAAAUUCUAAGAUUAUCUUUUAUAGACAUGUAUAAGAUAAACUAAAUUAUAUAUAUAUAUAAAGAAAACUAAAUUACUCUCCAAUCUUCAUGUUAUAAUAUUAUAUAAUUAAUUAUUUUUACUAGUUUAAAAAUAUGUUAUAAGAGAGACAACACACUUAAUAUAUCAUAACUUAUAUGAUUCUGAGCGAUACAUUCUACUAAAAAAUAAAAUUCAGAUAAUUAAAGGUGUUUAAUUUUAGAGCCAAAAGAUCGAAAAACUCUUGAGUUUCAUCAUUCAAAGUGUUAAAUGGGUGUUGAGACCUUAAGAUUUCAGCCUUAAAAUUAAUAUCAACAGGAGGUCUCAACCGCCUUUGAAAUCCAAGGAUUAUAUGACAGUCAACUCAAGACUGAAACCCAAGGGUAAUGACUAUUGAGUUGAAGGCUUCGGCCUACUAAGCCAAAAUCCAAAUAGACGAUAUUAUUCAAAUCACGUAAAAGUCGUAUGAUAAUUAAGACUUCAAAUCACAUAUGAGUAAAAAUGUUCUCGGAGUAAAAUUUUACAAUCUAGAACCAAUAUAGAUUUCAAAUAGUCCUACCAAGAGUCGACCAGCUUUAGAUCUAAAAGACACCUCAAGUAUGUUAAGUUAUCUUUUAAUCAAACCAUUCUCUAUACCUUUAUUUUGAGAUUUAUGAUAGAUCACUUACUAAUUUAAGUAUCAAAAAGAUAACCCACAAUAAUUCAUAUCUGAACGUUAUAUCUAUUGAGCCUGAGAAGAUCAAUAUACCAUCACUAAAAAUGGUUAUUGAUAUUAAUUGCACUACAUUUUACAUAUAUUUUAGGACAAAUCUAUACAUGGAUUUAUCUGAAUUCAUAUUUUACUAGGUAUAGAACCAAUCUUUAUUCAUAUUGUUUACAAAGAAGCUGAAACAUGGUAAACUAAAGACUUUUUUUAUUAUUUUUUUAAAAAAUUAAAAAAACUUAUUAAAUUAAGAAAAAUUAGAUGUAUAUUUGCACCUCUAAACUUUAUUAAAAAAAUUAUAUCCACAAAAAUUAAAUUAUUUUCUUAAGUUAAACUACUUUCAUAUAUUUUAUUUAUAAUUUUGACUCCACUUAUUUACGAAAAAUAAUUACUAUUUGAAUAAUAUUAAAAAAUAUUUUUUAAUAAAAUAACUUAUUUUCUCUUAUUUAAUUUUAAUUUAAAAAUAAAAUUUAUAAACUAAUUUAUAUAGCAGUCUUAAUAAGAUACUCAAAAUGCAGACAAUGAUUUUUUUUUUUUAAUUUAUUUUUCUUAAAAUAACUUAAUUUUUAUUUUAAAUAAAAAAUAUUUUCUAUUAACUAAAUUUUAAGAGUGUUUUGAAUGUUGGAAAAUAUGGACAAUUAUUACAAGAAAAAUAUUCAUUAAUGAGAGAAAAAAUUAUCAUUAAAUAUUAAAAAUUAAUCAUUGAAAAAUUACAAAAUUAUUUUUAAUUUUGUGAAAACAAAAAAUAAAAAUCAUGAAGUGAUACUAAAUGCACUUUAAAUUAGUCGUUAUAUAUAUAUAUGAGUGCAAGUGUGUAGAAAGUGAAUUAAGAAAUUAAAAUAUAAAAGAGUAAAUUAUUGUUUGAUUUUUGUACUAUUUUAAUUUUUUUUUAUUUCUAUGUCAUUCUGUUAAAAUAAAUCAUUAUAUUAUUUAUUUUUUUAAUUAUAUAUAUAUAAUUUAUUUUUUCUAAUUAAAGCUAAAAAUAUAUUUAUUAAUAUUUUAUUCGAUAAAAAUAUCAAAGAAUUUGAUUUUAUAAAAUUGAAUGAUUUGAAAAUAAAAAUUGAAUAGUUAAUUUUAAUAAAAUACAACGAUCUAUUAACAAUUUAAUCUUAUAAAAAAGAAUUAUUCAAAACUCUCUAAAGUUUCAUCAAACAGUGAGAAUCCCCUUGCAAGUUUCAUCAAACUUAUCAGUAGUGCAAGUAAGUACAAUUGGCCCAUCAAUUCUGGAGUCGAGAUCACCAUUCUGAUAUUGUUUAAUCAAUUCUUGUAAUGCCAGAAACUUCAGAUUCUCUACUUGAACUUGAUAUCUCUUGCUCUCGUUACCCACGUAUAUGGCUACAUAGCCUUUUCGAAUUUGUGGAGUUUUGACUUUUUGAUCAGUGGAACUGGAGAGCAAUUUAUAAGAAAAAAAUGACUAGAUUGCAUAACGUUGAUCUAAAAUUUUGUAAAUAAAAUCCAUUUUCCUGCUAGAAGCUCUCGACGAUGACAUUAUUGAUGAAAUUUUUUUAAGUUAAAAAAACUAUUUGAGAGUUAAAGAAUCCGAAAGAAAAUUGUAUUACAAAGAAUAAUAGUUGGGAUUCAAUUUAUAUAUAGAAUGAAUGAGUUUUCCUGAUGAAAUUUGGAUUUCCAGCAGUAAGUAAAGUUUUUUAGCUGGAUUAGUUUAUUAAUUGGUUUAAAAAAGAUACAAAUUAAGGCAGUGAAAAAGAAUCUUUAUUAAUUAUAUAAUUAUUUACAUUUUGAUUUAUUAAUGGUAAUUGCUAAAUAUGGUAAUUAAGUGAUGCUUAAGUUUAUAAUUUUGAGAAUAAUAAGAUAUGACGAUAAUAUUUAUUCAGUUUUAUGGUUUUUAGUUUCUUAAAAUGGCAGAAUUAGUUUAUAGGUCAGUAGAUUUUUUGUUAGGAGUUUGAAAUGGGAGAGAUUAUCACAAAUUAUAUGCAAUAUUCACACUUAAUUAAUUCUCUAAAUUUUUCAUACAGAAUGUUGAAAUGGUUAUCUUUGAUUAAAAAAAAGAAAUGGUUAUAAUAAAAAAUUAAAUAUUUUAUUUUUUUAUAUCAACACCAAUUUUGUUAAAAAUAACAAAAUUAUUAAAAUUAUUGAAUAAAUUAACUAAAAUUAAUAAUGAGUGAAAAUAUUGAAUUAACAGAAAGAUUUUGAUUUUUUUCUUUUUGUUAUUUAAUUUUUUUAAAGAAAUGAAGAUAACUAUUUUUUAACAAAAAGUGGGGCCAUUGAAACUAGAAUUAGCUGCUUUGAUUCAAUUUUUCUUUUCUUUUUUUGUAAAUUUUAUGUUGAUUCCCUUCAAUUUUUUUUUCUUACUAGAAUUUAUUUUCUUUUUGUAGUUUAUUAACUAUCAUACAUUACAAAAUAAUAUUUAAUGGAAAAUUUUAAUUAUAGUUUUAUUAAUAAUGAUGUUUAUAUUAAUUUUAUAUUAUUUAAUUUUAUAUAAUAAGAUAAAUAAUAAAAAGUAAAAAUACCUUUUAUAUAUAUAUAUAUAUAAGAGUUUAAUUUAUGUAAGAGUUUUCUUUAUAAUAAAGUUAUAUAUUUAAUUUAAUUAANNNNNNNNNNNNNNNNNNNNNNNAUAUAUAUUUUGAGAGUUUAAUUUAGGUAAGAGUUUGUAAAAUUAUAAAUAACAAACAGAUUUAUAAAUCAUUUGCAAAUAAAAGUGUAAUCGUUUAUAAAAUUAAAAAGAUACAUAGAUACAUGUAUGAAUUUGUUCAUACAUACAAAUGUGUGAACCAUUUGUAAACUUAAAUGCUCAUAAACAAAUUCACAAAUGAAAAUUUGUUAUGGAGUUAUAAUCCAUUUUUAAAAUUAGAUGUACACAUAUGGAUUUGUAGGGGUGAGCAUUCGGUCGGUUCGGUUCAAAAUCGAAUCGAACUGAAAAAACCGAAAACCUAAAUUUUAGUAUUUAUGAAAAUCGAACCGAACCGAUUUUGGUCAGAAACCGAAUCGAACCGAACCGGUCUGAUUCGGUUCGAUUCGGUUCGUUUGAUCAGUUUCGAUUUUUAAUGAUUUUUUUUAUUUUUUACACUUUAUUUUUAAUAUUUUAAAAUUUAAUUAAAAUAUUUUAAUUUUAAUAUGAUUUAAUUUCUCUACAUUAUUGAAAAAACAUAUUAUUAUCACUAAUCGGUUCGGUUCGAUUUUUUCAGUUUUUUUCUGAUUAAAACCGAACCGAACCGAAAUAACUGAAAUUUUUGAAAUUAAAAACCGAACCGAACCGAAAUGUAUAAAAAAUCAACUAAAUUUUAAAUCGAUUCGGUUCGGUCGGUUUUUUUGAGUUUGAACCGAAUACUGCUCACCCCUACGGAUUUGUAAAUAGAAGUGUAACUAUUUGUAAAAUUAAAAAGACAAACGGAUUUACAAAUAAAUAUGCAAUUGAUUUGUAAAAUUAAGAAAAAUUAACUAUUUAAUCAUUAUGAUAUGAUAAAAUUUAUCCGUUGUUCCCUUUAUUUUAAAAAAUAUAUUAAAAUAUUUUUAAAAUUUUAAAAAAUUUACUAAUUAAUCACUCCGUUACUAUAGGGACUAAGUAGUAAUCUUUUCUAAAAUUAAAGGACUACAAACAUAUUUACAAAUAAAUAUGAAAAUAAAAAUUAAAUGGAUAUAGAAUAAUUUGUAAAUGGACUUAUAAUUAGCUUGUGAAAUUAAUACAAAUAAAUUUAUAAACGAAUAUAUAUAAGUCAUUUAUAAAUUUAAUUUGAUAUAAAUAAAUUUAUGAUAUAGAAUUAUAAAAAAGAAUAUUUAUAUUUUUGCUAUUUCCAUUUGUAAAGCUAUAACAUUCAUAAAUGAAUUUAUAUCGGUUUAUAAAUUCCAUUUAUAUUUUAAAAAAUUCUUAUAGUAAAGGAUGAAAGAGUGAACAAUCAUAAUAAAUAGAAAAUCUUUCCAAAACAAUUAAACAAACUAUAUCAGAAGAAUUGAAGAGUUGGUUAAGAUUAUGCAGUCUAUCAGUUGUUCUUAAUUUUUAUCUUUUUCAAAAAUAUAAAAAUAAGAGUUGAUCAAUAAAAUAUAACAUGUUUCGGUUUGGAGAGUUGAUUGAGACUAUUUAGUUGUAUUCAAUUUUUAUCUUUUUCAAAUAUAUAUAUAUAUAUAAAUUUCCGAAAAGCAAAGAAACCAAAAUCCAGAAGGUGUAAAUGGAAAAAGAAACAUUUAAGAAUCUAUUAAAUAUCAAGAAUUCAGUUGUUUUAAACAAGGAAAUGACAAAGUACGUAAUAUUGUUGCAUGGCAUUUUCACAAGGGCAAAUAAGAAUCUAUUAAAUUGAGCCUACAAGGCAAAGGAUGCAUAUGAGUUACUGUUAGUAGACAGACCUUGCUAAUUUAUAAACGCUCAAUCAUAGAAAGAAGAAAGGGAUGCAGGUUACCAAGAUCAAUCACAUUAGAGAUUUUGACAAGUAUAAUUUUGACAAUUCAAUUAUUUCCCAUUCCCAUUUGUUCUUCACCCAACAGCCCAUAUUUAACAUCAACACAAAUAGGUUAGCUGCUAAAUUUAAUAGUCUGCUAAAGGAGAAUUUGAGAGCAAUAUUACCAACCGAUCGUCUCUCAUUCCAAAAUUUCAUUUUCAUCUCAUUCCCCACAGCAAAUCUGAUAUGAAUUAAAGGAGAGAAGGAAGAGUUCAUCGAAAGUAGCAUAGCCUCGAAUGUCUUUCUGAAGGGAAGAAAUGCAAUUUCCUGGAGCAAGAGAGAUACCCUUCUCCAAAUUGAAAGAAUAUUUGGAUAGAAGUUGAACUCAGAGUGAAUCCCUAUGAUUUUCAAAUCUCCAAAGCCAUUUGAACAAAAGAGCUUGAAUUUGAAGAGAGAUCUCUUUCAUGCCUAAGCCUCCUUUCUUUUUAGGCAACAAAAGAGUAUUCCAUUUAAUCAGAUGAAGUUUCUUUGUACUGACAUUUUUCCUGCCACCUUUGAUUAUACCUGUGUUAUAUAUAGAGCUAACCUGCCUUUUAUGAACUUGUUCAUAAAUACAUUUGGACAAAAAGUCCUGUUAAAUAGCUGAAGCUAAACUAGCAUUCCAAUCGCUAGUAGGACCAAUUGCAGUUGCUUGUCUCAGUGGCUGCAUAUGUCUGAUUUUCAUCCUCUUCUUUUGCUUUUCCCUCAAUUCCCAUAACAUUUUCUGUUGUGUAUAAUUUUAGUGACAUUUCAUCCAACCAACAGCUGUAGAAGUCUGGUGAUUCUCUUACCUUGUAUUAUGGGACUGUAUAUCCUGCAACCUGCAUUUAUAGUGUAGUCUAAUUGUUAAAUCAAUUCUCAAUUAAAGCACACUGGUUUAUAAUCAUUAUUUUCAUUAUUAUUAAAAAUUAUAAUAAUUAAGCAAAAAAGAAUUGCUUAUACCUUUAUGGUUAGAAAGGAGAAGUUGUAGUCAUAUCCUUGCAAGUACCUACAAGAGAAAUGAUAGCAUUUUAAAAGGUCAUUGAGCACAAAAAUAAAAACAAAGAUUCUUAAUCAUUGUAGUACGGAACCAAUUAGUUUUAGUUCUCAACUCAAUUUUAGGACUGAGCUCUCGAGUUAAGGCUGUAGUAGCAGCCAAAAAAAAAAUUGUAAUGGAGAUGUUGGGUUUACCAGCAACUUGAUGUAGAAAUCCAUGACCUCCAUUCAUCAACAAUCUUAUAUCAAAGAGAUCUAGUCCAUGUUUGAAUUCAAGCGAAAGGCACACACAUAUCAUGAUUUCCACCAUAGGUAAUUUGCGGUUUUAAAAAUUUUUGUUUUGUGGAAGAGAAUCACAGCUGAUUGAAAUUAAAAAUGAUAUUUGAAGAAAUUAGUUAAAUUACAUAUCUAUUAUAUUUGAAAAAGGUAAUUACCAAGUUGCGCUCCAAGAUACACUUGAAUGGUCAAGAUAUAACAACUUUAGUUUGCUGAUCCCUCAUUGCGCACCUUUAAAAGCCUCAGAAUGAGAUCAUUAUUCCGCGAUAAAUGUACUACCAGUUCUGUGGUAGCAGCAUCAGCAGAGAACCCCUUAUCAACCAUUUCAUUGAUUAGUUCUGAUGCUUUUGGUAAAUCCCCAUGCUUGAGAAACCCUUGAAUGAUGAUGUUAUAACAAGAAUUAUUUGGUAAACAUCCUACCUUUUCCAUGUCUUUAAAUACGUUAUACGCUUCAUCCAUUAAUCCUUGUUGGCAGAGUCCCUUCAUUAUUGCAUUAUAUACAUAAACAUCAGGUUGUAAACCAAUUUCAAAAAGACUAGAAAAAAGUUCCUUGGCAUCAUUAAUCUUCCCAACUUUGCACAUACCAUUGAUCAGACUGCUAUAGAUCACAAAAUUAGGCUUCAACUGACUUUUCUCCAUUGCUUUCAAUAGGGUGAGUGCCUCAUCGAGAUUCCCCUGUCUACACAAGCCAUCAAUCAUAAUUGAGAAGGUUACUAUAUUUGGCUGUUGACCAUGAGAGCACAUAUCCUUAAAGAGCUCUUUUGCAGUUUGGGGCCUCCCUGCUUGAAACAUAGCCUUUAUAAGAGUAUGAUAAGUAAUAGCAUUAGGAACUAAACCUUUAUGAGACAUUUCAUCAAAAAUCUGCUUUGCAUCAUCUAUCAUUUUGCACUUACAAUAUCCAUUGAUCAAAAUGUUGUAGCUAAAAAUGUCAGCUAUUUCAUUGGUCACCAUCAGAUCAAAUACCUUUCUAGCCUUAUCAAUUUGCCUGCACAGACAAUAUCCAUCCAUCAAUGAAUUAUAAGUGACAACACUAGGUUCCACACCUCUUUGAAUCAUUAUUUUGAUUAUAUUCUGUGCAUUUGAAACCAGUCCUUUCUUACAAAGAGUGUCAAUCAAUAUACUGAAGGUAAAAACAUUAGGGGAUAUGUUCCUCCCCACCAUUUCUUUCAACAAGGCCAAAGCUUCCUUGAAUUGGUCUGAAAUGCAAAGACCAUCAAUUAAGGAAUUGUAGGUGACCACAUCAGGCUCUACACCUCUUUGAAUCAUUACAUUGAAUGUAUUUUGAGCCUCUGAAACCAUUCCAUCCUUACAAAGAGCAUCAAUCAAUACAUUGAAGGUAUAAACAUCUGGUAAUAUGUUCUGCUCCACCAUUUCAUUCAUCAAGGCCAAAGCUUGGUUCUUUUGGCCUAAUUUGCAAACACCAUGAAUUAAACUAGUGUAAGUGAUGACAUCAGGUGAAAUGCCCUUAUUACUCAUUUGAGAGAAGAGCUCUAAAGCCUCACCAACUAGCACAUCCUUGCAAAGUGCGUCAAUGAUAGAAUUGUAUGUCACAACAUUUGGCUCACAACCUCUAUCAGCCAUUCCCUUUAGUAGCCCAAUAGCCACGUUUGUUUUCCCAAAUUUACACAAUCCGUUUACUAUCACAUUGAAAGUACGAACAUUAG